GUCCUAGCCGUAAACGAUGGAUACUAGGUGUGGGUGUCGCAGGGCAUCCGUGCCGCAGUUAACGCGUUAAGUAUCCCGCCUGGGGACUACGGUCGCAAGACUGAAACUCAAAGGAAUUGACGGGGGCCCGCACAAGCGGUGGAGCACGUGGUUUAAUUCGAUGCAAACCGAAGAACCUUACCUAGGCUUGACAUACAAGUGGUACAGAAGUGAAAGCGGAAGGACCCUAGCUUGCUAGGGAGCUUGAACAGGUGCUGCAUGGCUGUCGU
RNAcentral lists this ribosomal RNA (269 nucleotides) under uncultured bacterium. RNAcentral's name for it is "partial 16S ribosomal RNA". It matches the Rfam family "Bacterial small subunit ribosomal RNA", at positions 793 to 1055 of the family's 1533-position model. The record is from RNAcentral.